UUUGUUCUUGGUAUGAGCUUUCGUAUGCAUGCACACUUCUUCAGAUACAUGUGCAUGCACACGGAAGCUCAUACCAAGAACAAA
Non-coding RNA from Podarcis lilfordi (Lilford's wall lizard), 84 nucleotides. Lineage: Eukaryota; Metazoa; Chordata; Lepidosauria; Squamata; Lacertidae. The record is from the annotation of a GenBank genome assembly.